AUUAAACGGCGCUUUUUUUUUUUUUUUCAGGGUUCCAACCUGGUUGGUCUUCUUCUACGUUUUGGUGAUGAGGAAUGAGAAAGAGUGAGAGAAAUACUACCUCCUCCUCUUCCGUUUGCGAUCCAGGCAAGCGUUUUUCGCCAUGCCUCUUAAUUCCAGCUGCUUAGCUAAUUAUGUUAAGAUAUUAAACCGCUUUGAGUAGGAGCAAACAGAAACCGGAGAAAAGAGAGAGCAGGGAGGGAGAGAGAGGAAGAAGACAACAAAGGCAAGAGGAUUCUUUUUUUUUUGAUAGAUUUGCUGUUUAUAUGCUUUAGUUCAGUAUUAUACUCAACGAUUACAAUGUCAAAUUUCAUUAAUCCUCUUAACUGUUGUAAGUAAUCCUGUUAUUUCCUGAGCAACAAUCAGUUUGUUAUUUAUAACUCCAAUUCCUGCCCAUCAGAUCUCCCUCUGUUGGAAACACCCUUGUCCUCAAGGGUAUGGAAGUUGGGAUAAUCUUUUGUAGAUCAUACAAAUAGACAAUGUGGCAUCUUCGAUAGGGAUAGCAGUCCAGAAGUUGAAUAGCAGCUACUUGGCCUCGUAGGUUGGGGUUUGCCUAUGGCUUCUGGAAGGGGUAGAGUAAGUGUGGGUGACUGGUUUGGAUUAAGGUUGCAUAUGGAAGCUAGGUGGAUUGAUGUCGAAGAGGGAAAGUCAAGGUGGUAAGCAGCUGUCAGUGCCAACAGUAAGCUGUUAAAGGUUUACCAGAGACGUAGAACUGUGUUGUGAAGUUAGAGGAUGUGCAUACAUAAUAUGUGUGUUUAAUGUUGUAUACAAAAAAUAAAUGUAAGGCCCAUCAAUCUAUUAUUCUGUUAACAGAUUAUGAUUCCAAGUCAACACUAAAUAGGUUGAUCUUGGAAGGCAGUAGCAUGUAGUCUCACAUUCAAACUACUUAUGCUCCAUGAGCCGACCGCUUUUCUACAAAUGGUAUUCUAAGGUAUAAAAGCAUGAUGGUGAUAGGAUCCAGUCCGGACCUCAGAGAGAUAAUCAUGCAACACGUUAUAACUUGGUGAUGCAGGAGCAUUCUGCCUUAAGCCUACUUAUGAACGUCUUAAGCAACAUUUCUAUUGGCAAGCAACAACUUAUGGAAUGGAUACAAUGCUGUGAGCUUUGCCAGCGGAAGAAGUACCCCUGACAGGACUGUUGCAGCCCCACACUGUUCCCACCUAGGCUUGGAUGCAUGUCUUUUUGGAUUCACUGAACAACUGCCUAAGGCUUUAAUUUACCUAGAGAAUGUUCACCAACUUCAUGGGAUUCCUAAGGUGUUAGCAUCAGAUUGGGAUAAAAUUUUUACAAGCCUGUUUUGGACGGAAUUAAUGAAACUUUCAGGGACAGCCUUGCAUUUCUGUUUGGCAUGCUAUCUGCAAACAAAUGGGCCAACAGAAUGCUUGAACCAAUAUUUGGAAAUGUAUUUGAGAUGUAUGGCUCAUCAAAAGUUGAAGGGUUGGGCUAAGUGUUUGGCACUAAUGAAAUGGUGGUACAACAAAACUUAUCAUUCUAGUUUAAAGAUGACUCUUUUCCAGGCACUGUAUGAUUAUGCUCCUCUUCAAUUCUUGGAUACUGUGUAUAUCCAAACCCCAUCUCAGACAGUGGAAGAGUUUUUGAUGGAAAGACAGCGGAUAAGCCGGGGAAGCAACUAUUAUUUAAAGCUUAGCAGAGAAUCAAUCAGUUUUCAAAUAGCAACCACAGUGGGAGGCAUUUCAAUGAACAAAAACUAGCGUUAUUGACGACGUAGCCUUUUUUCCAAGGGUCAGUUUGAAAGGGGAACACAUCCAAGCUAUCUCCCUAUUUCUCUAGGUCUUUUGAGAUUUUGCAGAAGAUCGAAGAGGUCACAUAUAAUCUGAAACUGCCCGAUAAUUCUCGAUUCCACCAAAUGUUCCAUAUGUCACAACUGAAGAAAUGUCAGGCAAGCAUAUAUAUUUUGUAGAACUUCCUAUUAUGGAUUCAGAAGGGACUAUUGUGGUAACUCCGGAAAGAAUUUUGCAAAGCAGGAAAGUUAUCAGGAAUGGAAAAGAAGUAGAACAAGUACUACUGUAAUGGAUGGGAACGGUUGUGGACUAAUUGCACUUGGAAAGACCGGGAGUUUCUAUGUCAGCAAUUUCCACAUCUCAACCUUAGGGACAAGGUUGCUGUUCAAGGGGAGGGUAUUAUCAAUGCCAAUAGUAAGCCGUUAACAGUUUAUUAGAGAUGUAGGGCUGUGUUGUGAAGUUAGAGGUAUGCAUGUGGGACAUGUGUGACUUUACCGUUGUAUACAAGGAAUAAAUUUUGGGCCCAACAAUCUGUUAUUCUGUUAACAGAUUAGGAUUCCAAAUGAACAAUAUAAAUAGGUUGAUCUUGGAUGGUAGUAGCAUGUAAUCUCACAUUCAAAAAAACUUAAAACAGUCCAUCUCCAAAUUCUCUCAAUCUCCUUCUUAAUUCCUCCCUUGAAUCUAUCUCUCUUCUCUAUAUCUCUCUCUAGCUUUGUGGUCUGUUCUCUAUGCUGUCGGAGCUAAUGUCCAGAGCUUUUGACAGCAGCAUGGCUGAUUUUAGCUAAGAUGUGGUAGGGACCAUAGUAGAUAGGAAAUAGUCUAUCGCUGAGUCGUUUGUGGAGAGAUAAUUGGUGGUACCAUUGAAGUUUAAUGUAGACAUAGUCGCCAGGGGAAUGCGGCUGAUCAGACCAAACCUUUUCUGGUUGCUGUUUCAUAUGAUUCUAAGCAUUGGUCACAUAAUGUUUGAGAAGGUUUAAAGUGCAUUCACUGUUCGUGAUGAAGAGGUUCACUGCUUUAGUGGUGGAAUCCCCAGGAAAUAUGGAAGAUAUAGGAUCUCGAACUGUAUGGGCUUAGUUAUGGGGAAUAGGUGUUAUAUCAUCAUUCUGCAGGGGAAAUCCCGAUGGUGGUUAGGAUCCUCAUUAACCAUACAACUUAUACAAGUGCCUAAACAGCUGUUCACGAUUUUAAUUUGGCCAUCUUUUUGAAUAUAUUAAGCUGUGGAGUUCAGGAGUUCAAUGCCCUAUAACCAAAAGAAGUCUUUCAAAAACUUGUUUAGAAAGAUGGUUCCUGUUCACCGUUGUUGCUGGUAGGGAGACCUUGGAGGUUAAAAGCAUUAUCCAAAUAACAUUGAGCAUACUUGGUGGCCAAAUAAAGAUGUUCAGGGGCAUGAAACUAACAUAUUUGGUCAAAUGGUCCACCACAAGAAAAAUGGAAUCCUUGCCAUGAGAUUGGAAAUCCGUUGAUGAAAUUCAUGCUGAUACUAGUCCUUUAUAUUCUCAGGAAUAGGCAGGGGUUGUAGGAGGCAUGGGGAAGCUACAUUUUCUGGUUGAUGUUGUUGGCAAACAGGGCAUUAGCAAACAUAACCCUAGAUGUCCUUGUCCAUUCAUUUCCACAGUAUUCAAGCUUCACUUUGCUUCUGGGUAGCAUUGACGUUGAGUGGCCACCAGAAGGAUUAACGUAAAGCUAACAAGCAAAA
Carica papaya (papaya) is the source of this 3477-nucleotide non-coding RNA. Lineage: Eukaryota; Viridiplantae; Streptophyta; Magnoliopsida; Brassicales; Caricaceae. The record is from RefSeq and is a predicted model, not a curated record.